UGCCAACAGCCGCGGUAAUACGGAGGAUCCAAGCGUUAUCCGGAAUCAUUGGGUUUAAAGGGUCCGUAGGCGGGUUUAUAAGUCAGUGGUGAAAGUUUGCAGCUUAACUGUAAAAUUGCCAUUGAUACUGUAGAUCUUGAAUUAGUGUGAAGUGGUUAGAAUGUGUAGUGUAGCGGUGAAAUGCAUAGAUAUUACACAGAAUACCAAUUGCGAAGGCAGAUCACUAACACUAUAUUGACGCUGAGGGACGAAAGCGUGGGGAGCGAACAGGAUUAGAUA
RNAcentral lists this ribosomal RNA (279 nucleotides) under uncultured bacterium. Its description in RNAcentral is "partial 16S ribosomal RNA". It matches the Rfam family "Bacterial small subunit ribosomal RNA", at positions 506 to 784 of the family's 1533-position model. The record is from RNAcentral.